Molecule: ribosomal RNA, 253 nt
Filed under: uncultured bacterium
Lineage: Bacteria
Description: partial 16S ribosomal RNA
Rfam family: Bacterial small subunit ribosomal RNA
Source: RNAcentral
UACGAAGGGGGCUAGCGUUGCUCGGAAUUACUGGGCGUAAAGGGCGCGUAGGCGGACUGUUACGUUAGAGGUGAAAGCCCAGGGCUCAACCUUGGAAUUGCCUUUGAUACUGGCAGUCUUGAGUACGGAAGAGGUAUGUGGAACUCCGAGUGUAGAGGUGAAAUUCGUAGAUAUUCGGAAGAACACCAGUGGCGAAGGCGACAUACUGGUCCGUUACUGACGCUGAGGCUCGAAAGCGUGGGGAGCAAACAGG